This 238-nucleotide long non-coding RNA is filed under the name Gossypium raimondii (Peruvian cotton). RNAcentral describes it as "long non-coding RNA (GRAI_LNC000788)". The record is from RNAcentral. Lineage: Eukaryota; Viridiplantae; Streptophyta; Magnoliopsida; Malvales; Malvaceae.
UUUUUCUAACUUUGGAAUCCCUUUUAUGUUGCUCUUUCUUGAAAAAAAUAAAAUAUUUUAAGAUAAAAAACAUAAAAACACGGUAGAAAAGUUAACAUUUUAUUUUCUUUCUUUUUCUUUUUCUAUUCCUCUCUUCCAUCUUUUUCUUCUUUGUUUUCUUUCACGAAGAACACUAGUUGUCGCCAUUUAGCCACCGUUGUUCAACCACAUUGUCGCCAUUUAGCCACCGUCGUUCAAC